RNAcentral lists this ribosomal RNA (468 nucleotides) under uncultured bacterium. RNAcentral describes it as "partial 16S ribosomal RNA". It matches the Rfam family "Bacterial small subunit ribosomal RNA", at positions 28 to 507 of the family's 1533-position model. The record is from RNAcentral.
GACGAACGCUGGCGGCGUGCUUAACACAUGCAAGUCGAACGGAAAGGCCCUGCUUUUGUGGGGUGCUCGAGUGGCGAACGGGUGAGUAACACGUGAGUAACCUGCCCUUGACUUUGGGAUAACUUCAGGAAACUGGGGCUAAUACCGGAUAGGAGCUCCUGCUGCAUGGUGGGGGUUGGAAAGUUUCGGCGGUUGGGGAUGGACUCGCGGCUUAUCAGCUUGUUGGUGGGGUAGUGGCUUACCAAGGCUUUGACGGGUAGCCGGCCUGAGAGGGUGACCGGCCACAUUGGGACUGAGAUACGGCCCAGACUCCUACGGGAGGCAGCAGGGGGGAAUAUUGCACAAUGGGCGGAAGCCUGAUGCAGCAACGCCGGGUGCGGGAUGACGGCCUUCGGGUUGUAAACCGCUUUCGCCUGUGACGAAGCGUGAGUGACGGUAAUGGGUAAAGAAGCACCGGCUAACUACGUG